RNAcentral lists this ribosomal RNA (433 nucleotides) under uncultured bacterium. RNAcentral's name for it is "partial 16S ribosomal RNA". It matches the Rfam family "Bacterial small subunit ribosomal RNA", at positions 29 to 507 of the family's 1533-position model. The record is from RNAcentral.
AACGAACGCUGGCGGCAUGCCUAACACAUGCAAGUCGAACGAGACCUUCGGGUCUAGUGGCGCACGGGUGCGUAACGCGUGGGAACCUGCCCUUAGGUUCGGAAUAACUCCCCGAAAGGGGUGCUAAUACCGGAUAAUGUCUUCGGACCAAAGAUUUAUCGCCUUUGGAUGGGCCCGCGUUGGAUUAGCUAGUUGGUAGGGUAAAAGCCUACCAAGGCGACGAUCCAUAGCUGGUCUGAGAGGAUGAUCAGCCACACUGGGACUGAGACACGGCCCAGACUCCUACGGGAGGCAGCAGUGGGGAAUAUUGGACAAUGGGCGAAAGCCUGAUACAGCAAUGCCGCGUGAGUGAUGAAGGCCUUAGGGUUGUAAAGCUCUUUUACCCGAGAUGAUAAUGACAGUACCGGGAGAAUAAGCGCCGGCUAACUCCGUG